Molecule: ribosomal RNA, 497 nt
Filed under: uncultured bacterium
Lineage: Bacteria
Description: partial 16S ribosomal RNA
Rfam family: Bacterial small subunit ribosomal RNA
Source: RNAcentral
GACGAACGCUGGCGGCGUGCCUAAUACAUGCAAGUUGAGCGCUGAAGGUUGGUACUUGUACCAACUGGAUGAGCAGCGAACGGGUGAGUAACGCGUGGGGAAUCUGCCUUUGAGCGGGGGACAACAUUUGGAAACGAAUGCUAAUACCUCAUAAAAACUUUAAACACAAGUUUUAAGUUUGAAAGAUGCAAUUGCAUCACUCAAAGAUGAUCCCGCGUUGUAUUAGCUAGUUGGUGAGGUAAAGGCUCACCAAGGCGAUGAUACAUAGCCGACCUGAGAGGGUGAUCGGCCACAUUGGGACUGAGACAAGGCCCCAAAUCCUAAGGGAGGCAGCAGUAGGGAAUCUUCGGAAAUGGACGAAAGUCUGAACGAGCAAAGCCGCGUGAGUGAAGAAGGUUUUCGGAUCGUAAAACUCUGUUGGUAGAGAAGAAAGUUGGUGAGAGUGGAAAGCUCAUCAAGUGACGGUAACUAACCAGAAAGGGACGGCUAACUACGUG